AGUUGUACAUUUUUUAGGUAGUGAUUUUUCCCGUUAUUAUGAUAUACAUUUUUUUCUAUUCAUAAUUUUAUUGGAUACUAUUCGCGGUAAAAAGGUGAAGAUUUCAGUACUAAAUUUCGAAUAUGCCUGCUGGUUCAACGUGUCAGUCAUUUGUAAGUGUAGUGGGAUUUUUUUCGUUUAUACUCGUGUAAAAGUUCGCUUUUUAGAUCUUUGCUUGUUUCUAUAUUGAUUGUCAAUUCAUGUUGACGAAAACAAUUUAUAUAUUUACAUAUUAUGGUAUUGGUGCUUGAUCUCUCUGGACGCACUUUUUUUAUUUUGCUGGUGUAGUUAUUCUUGUUGCCUGUUGUGACAAAUGACUAAGUAUCGUUUAAAUUAGCCAUAUUACUAAUUUU
This 392-nucleotide long non-coding RNA is filed under the name Mytilus galloprovincialis (Mediterranean mussel). The record is from RNAcentral. Lineage: Eukaryota; Metazoa; Mollusca; Bivalvia; Mytilida; Mytilidae.